Molecule: ribosomal RNA, 252 nt
Filed under: uncultured bacterium
Lineage: Bacteria
Description: partial 16S ribosomal RNA
Rfam family: Bacterial small subunit ribosomal RNA
Source: RNAcentral
GGUCCCUACGGGGGGCAGCAGUAGGGAAUCUUCCACAAUGGACGAAAGUCUGAUGGAGCAACGCCGCGUGAGUGAAGAAGGGUUUCGGCUCGUAAAUCUCUGUUGGGAGUGGAGAAAGAUAGAGGUAGUAACUGGCCUUUUUUUGACGGUAAUUACUUAGAAAGUCACGGCUAACUACGUUCCAGCAGCCGCGGUAAUAAGUAGGUGGCAAGCGUUGUCCGGAUUUAUUGGGCGUAAAGCGAGUGCAGGCGG